AUUGAAAUACUGGUUCCUGUACAAUCGCUGAAGUUAAGCAACAUUGAUCCUGGUCAGUACCUAGCUGGGUGAUUGCUUGGGAAUACCAGGUACUGUAAG
This is a non-coding RNA of Acanthosepion pharaonis, 99 nucleotides long. Lineage: Eukaryota; Metazoa; Mollusca; Cephalopoda; Sepiida; Sepiidae. The record is from the annotation of a GenBank genome assembly.